GGUCCCGUAGCCAAGUGGUAAGGCAGAGGUCUGCAAAACCUCCAUUCCCCGGUUCAAAUCCGGGCGGGACCUCCA
RNAcentral lists this transfer RNA (75 nucleotides) under Myxococcales bacterium. RNAcentral describes it as "tRNA-Cys". It matches the Rfam family "tRNA". From Rfam's summary of the family: Transfer RNA (tRNA) molecules are approximately 80 nucleotides in length. Their secondary structure includes four short double-helical elements and three loops (D, anti-codon, and T loops). Further hydrogen bonds mediate the characteristic L-shaped molecular structure. tRNAs have two regions of fundamental functional importance: the anti-codon, which is responsible for specific mRNA codon recognition, and the 3' end, to which the tRNAs corresponding amino acid is attached (by aminoacyl-tRNA synthetases). tRNAs cope with the degeneracy of the genetic code in two manners: having more than one tRNA (with a specific anti-codon) for a particular amino acid; and 'wobble' base-pairing, i.e. permitting non-standard base-pairing at the 3rd anti-codon position. The record is from RNAcentral. RNAcentral also lists the same sequence under 2 other names. Lineage: Bacteria; Pseudomonadati; Myxococcota; Myxococcia; Myxococcales.